GGAACAAAGGGGGUUCCAGAAUGUUUUAAUUUUCCCAUGACAUAUGAGUGAUCAAAGAGAAUCUGAUGUGAAAGAAGUGAAACCAAAGGUGUUAUGACAAGCUGCUCUAAAAUAUAAAGGGUUCAGUAUGGAUUUUCUACAGCCAUUAUCACAAGAAUUAACCAAGUACGGCCAGUAUCAGGAAGAAUAUAUUAAACUUCAUUCACAUAAGAUCGGAACAGUGGUGGUGUAUUUGUACUGCGGUGGUAGCGGUAAUUUCUAAAUGUUUCAUUGGUAUUAUACAGGCUUGUGUAAUCAUCAUAUUUAUUUUAAAACAGUCACACACAGAUUAUAAAGAAAAUUGUAAGUAAAUAAAUAACAUUAAAUAAACAUGUACG
Molecule: long non-coding RNA, 377 nt
Organism: Aethina tumida (small hive beetle)
Lineage: Eukaryota; Metazoa; Arthropoda; Insecta; Coleoptera; Nitidulidae
Exons: 2
Source: RefSeq, a predicted model, not a curated record